This 519-nucleotide ribosomal RNA is filed under the name uncultured Glomus. RNAcentral describes it as "SSU rRNA". It matches the Rfam family "Eukaryotic small subunit ribosomal RNA", at positions 569 to 1092 of the family's 1831-position model. The record is from RNAcentral. Lineage: Eukaryota; Fungi; Glomeromycota; Glomeromycetes; Glomerales; Glomeraceae.
AGCAGCCGCGGUAAUUCCAGCUCCAAUAGCGUAUAUUAAAGUUGUUGCAGUUAAAAAGCUCGUAGUUGAAUUUCGGGAUUAGUACGUUGGUCGUGCCUUCGGUACGUACUGGUGUUACUGGUUCCUACCUUCUGACGAACCAUCAUGUCAUUAAUUUGGUGUGGCGGGGAAUCAGGACUGUUACUUUGAAAAAAUUAGAGUGUUUAAAGCAGGCUCGCGCUUGAAUACAUUAGCAUGGAAUAAUGGAAUAGGACGUUGACCCUAUUUUGUUGGUUUCUAGGAUUGACGUAAUGAUUAAUAGGGAUAGUUGGGGGCAUUAGUAUUCAAUUGUCAGAGGUGAAAUUCUUGGAUUUAUUGAAGACUAACUACUGCGAAAGCAUUUGCCAAGGAUGUUUUCAUUAAUCAAGAACGAAAGUUAGGGGAUCGAAGACGAUCAGAUACCGUCGUAGUCUUAACCAUAAACUAUGCCGACUAGGGAUCGGAUGAUGUUAUUUUUAAUGACUCAUUCGGCGCCUUACG